GUAGUCAUAUGCUUGUCUCAAAGAUUAAGCCAUGCAUGUCUAAGUAUAAGCAAUUUAUACGGUGAAACUGCGAAUGGCUCAUUAAAUCAGUUAUCGUUUAUUUGAUAGUACCUUACUACAUGGAUACCUGUGGUAAUUCUAGAGCUAAUACAUGCUAAAAACCUCGACUUCGGAAGGGGUGUAUUUAUUAGACAAAAAACCAAUGCCCUUCGGGGCUCCUUGGUGAAUCAUAAUAACUUAACGAAUCGCAUGGCCUUGCGCCGGCGAUGGUUCAUUCAAAUUUCUGCCCUAUCAACUUUCGAUGGUAGGAUAGUGGCCUACCAUGGUGGCAACGGGUAACGGGGAAUG
RNAcentral lists this ribosomal RNA (348 nucleotides) under uncultured fungus. Its description in RNAcentral is "SSU rRNA". It matches the Rfam family "Eukaryotic small subunit ribosomal RNA", at positions 20 to 371 of the family's 1831-position model. Lineage: Eukaryota; Fungi. The record is from RNAcentral.